RNAcentral lists this ribosomal RNA (497 nucleotides) under uncultured bacterium. RNAcentral describes it as "partial 16S ribosomal RNA". It matches the Rfam family "Bacterial small subunit ribosomal RNA", at positions 28 to 507 of the family's 1533-position model. The record is from RNAcentral.
GAUGAACGCUGGCGGCGUGCCUAAUACAUGCAAGUCGAGCGAACAGACGAGGAGCUUGCUCCUCUGACGUUAGCGGCGGACGGGUGAGUAACACGUGGAUAACCUACCUAUAAGACUGGGAUAACUUCGGGAAACCGGAGCUAAUACCGGAUAAUAUAUUGAACCGCAUGGUUCAAUAGUGAAAGACGGUUUUGCUGUCACUUAUAGAUGGAUCCGCGCCGCAUUGUCUAGUUGGGAAGGUAACGGCUUACCAAGGCGACGAUGCGUACCCGACGUGAGGGAGUGAUCGCCCACCCUAGAACUGGGCCACCCUCCAUACGCCUGCGGGAGGCCCCAGUCGGGAACCUUCCGCAAUGGGGGAAAGCCUGACGCAACAACGCCGCGUGAGUGAUAAAGGUCUCCGGUUCGUAACACUCGGUUAUUGGGGAAAAACAAAUUUUUAAGUAAAUAUGCCCGACUUGACGGUACCUAAACAGAAAGCCCCGGCUAACUACGUG